Small nucleolar RNA from Malus domestica (apple), 107 nucleotides. The record is from RefSeq and is a predicted model, not a curated record. NCBI's taxonomy places the organism in Eukaryota, Viridiplantae, Streptophyta, Magnoliopsida, Rosales, Rosaceae.
AACUGACGGUGUGGACAACUAAUUAUCAAAGCUUUAAAUCUCUACCAGGCUUGAAAAAGUGGUUCUCCCUUGUUCUGCCUAAAGUGAAAUAUGUGAUCCCUCAACCU